GCAUAUCAAUAAGCGGAGGAAAAGAAACCAACAGGGAUUGCCCCAGUAACGGCGAGUGAAGCGGCAAGAGCUCAAAUUUGAAAGCUGGCUCCUUCGGGGUCCGCAUUGUAAUUUGCAGAGGAUGCUUCGGGAGCGGUCCCCAUCUAAGUGCCCUGGAACGGGACGUCAUAGAGGGUGAGAAUCCCGUAUGGGAUGGGGUGUCCGCGCCCGUGUGAAGCUCCUUCGACGAGUCGAGUUGUUUGGGAAUGCAGCUCUAAAUGGGUGGUAAAUUUCAUCUAAAGCUAAAUAUUGGCCGGAGACCGAUAGCGCACAAGUAGAGUGAUCGAAAGAUGAAAAGCACUUUGAAAAGAGAGUUAAAAAGCACGUGAAAUUGUUGAAAGGGAAGCGCUUGCGACCAGACUCGCUCGCGGGGUUCAGCCGGCAUUCGUGCCGGUGUACUUCCCCGCGGGCGGGCCAGCGUCGGUUUGGGCGGUCGGUCAAAGGCCCUCGGAAGGUAACGCCCCUCGGGGCGUCUUAUAGCCGAGGGUGCAAUGCGACCUGCCCGGACCGAGGAACGCGCUUCGGCUCGGACGCUGGCAUAAUGGUCGUAAACGACCCGUCUUGAAACACGGACC
This 614-nucleotide ribosomal RNA is filed under the name Penicillium egyptiacum. RNAcentral describes it as "eukaryotic LSU rRNA". It matches the Rfam family "Eukaryotic large subunit ribosomal RNA", at positions 38 to 667 of the family's 3401-position model. The record is from RNAcentral. Lineage: Eukaryota; Fungi; Ascomycota; Eurotiomycetes; Eurotiales; Aspergillaceae.